AUUGAACGCUGGCGGCAUGCCUUACACAUGCAAGUCGAACGGCAGCACGGGUGCUUGCACCUGGUGGCGAGUGGCGAACGGGUGAGUAAUACAUCGGAACAUGUCCUGUAGUGGGGGAUAGCCCGGCGAAAGCCGGAUUAAUACCGCAUACGAUCUACGGAUGAAAGCGGGGGACCUUCGGGCCUCGCGCUAUAGGGUUGGCCGAUGGCUGAUUAGCUAGUUGGUGGGGUAAAGGCCUACCAAGGCGACGAGCAGUAGCUGGUCUGAGAGGACGACCAGCCAGAUGGGCUGAGAGAAGGGCCCGAGACCCUGGGGGGGGGAAGCGGUGGGGAAUUGUGAAGAAGGGGGAAGUGGGGAAUACAGCACGGCCGGGGGAGGAAAGAUGCCGCUGGGUUUGAAGAGCUUUUUGGGCCGGAAGGUAGUCAUGGUCUCUAAAACGGGGGGGGAAUGACGGUACCGGAAGAAUAAGCCCCGGCUAACUACGUG
This 486-nucleotide ribosomal RNA is filed under the name uncultured bacterium. RNAcentral describes it as "partial 16S ribosomal RNA". It matches the Rfam family "Bacterial small subunit ribosomal RNA", at positions 29 to 507 of the family's 1533-position model. The record is from RNAcentral.